UAAGUUUUUCUUUGCCUUGUAGAAGGAACAUGAUGCGAGUGUCUUUGGUGUUGUGUCCUUCUGAGUCCACCCCAUCUCAUUGCUUCCAGCCCCAGGAAGGGAAUGGCACAGCUUUCAAUGCCAUCUGCUGAGGAGCUAACGUGGAGAGUCUGAAGCCGAACAUUGCAGGAAUUCCCACAGAAGAGAGCCAAGAUCUGCUGCACAGAGCACCAGCAGUGAGUUCCAUGUCUGCAAGGACUUCAGUCACCCUUUCUGUAGAAGCACAAGGGAAGAGUGCACCCCUCACCAUAAAAAUCAGAAAGAACCGUUCCAGAGAGAGAAGUCAUGGAAUUUGGACUGAAUUAGCUAAAUUGAGCUAGUAAUAACGAUGUAUCGUAUGUAGUGUUGCAAUUCAUAUGCCUCUACAGUGCUGAAGAUUGUCCUAAAUAAUCCUUUUAUCUUCCCGGAAGCAUCAGCUACCACAUGCCUUACAAAGAUUCUCAUUUACUAGUGUGACUUGAAGAGAUCUGAACAGUGGGAUGUAGUACUGAAGAGUCUGGAGAGCUGCGAAUGGCAGCAGCCCCAUAAGAAAAAGCUGCAACAGUCAAGAUAAAAGUAAAAGAAGAAAUGGAUAAGGAAAUAAGCAGAAGUGAAGCUGAGGCAGCAACAUUUACAGACAAAUGUUUCUUGCAUGUUUUAGUUGCCAUUCCAAAGAAAAAGCUCUUCUGAAUUAUUACUUGUGAUUGCAGCAUUUUGCAAAAUUGUUGCAAUUCCUGAUGCUUGUAGAAUGUGCUUUUAAACUCCAGGUUUGGGGGAAAGAGGAUAUUGUAGCAUAUUUAACUUGAAGACUUAUUUGAGAGACCCCUUUUGAAAUCACAGAAAGGGGGGAGGGAGGGAGGGAGACAAUCCAGACUCUCUGUCUCCAGGCAGAGGGAGGUGGAGUGGGGGAGGGAGCUGACUGACAGACUCAGGUAGACUUCCAAAAAUGUGAUUGGCUCUUCUGAAGUCUCACUGAUGGCCCAUUCAGAAAAUAAAAUCACAUGGAGCUAUUUUACUCCCCAACACAUGCAAGUUUUCCUAGGAACUACAACAUGGAACAGUUUAACAUCUGGAAGGAUUACUUGGGGCUGGCAGAAGUGGUGGAAGAGAUUCAUAAACAGCAAAGCAAAGAAGACAGCUUGCAGAUGGCUGCCACUUCUGAAGAUGAGAUGGAGAGUCCCAGGUUCAGAAGACAAGUCAUUUCCUCUGGGACCUGGACAGGAAUCACUAUCUGUGCCUUUUGCAAGCACAAUGGGGAAUCAAAACACAUCUAUACCUCUCACAAAUUGAAAGACAAGGAAGGAAGGGUGGCAUGUCCAAUCCUAAAGAACUACAUCUGCCCACAAUGCGGGGCCACACAGGAGAAUGCUCACACCAAGAGAUUCUGCCCCCUGACCAGGAAAGGAUACACAUCAGUAUACAACUGCUUCUCCAGAAAUUCAAUGGGAAAGCGCCCUGUCAGUGGCCCCAUACAGAAGAACAAGGAUGAUUCAUUACCUCUUUCAAAUAUCUCUUAACCUGAAAAGGCCUCAGUUCCUCAACUCCAUAUUCAGGUUCCCAAGGUUUUCAGGCAGCCUUCUUCAUUUUCACACUGUUACCUGGCCCCUCUCUAAGGCUAAAGCAUCAGGGAACAUAGAAACAUGGAUACUCCCUGCCUCAUCAACUUGGAAUCCUGUCAUCUUCACUCCCCCACCCACAGACCCAUCUUACAGUAACACUUUAUUUUUCUAAUAAUGGACACAUAAUUGCCUUGGCUUCCAGAUCCAGCUCAGGAAGAACAGACAGACAUUUGGCCUACACUUGAGUUUUGCUGUGGCUACGCUGGCAAAGCCUAUUAAAUGUAGAUAAGUCCUUAUACCUGGGAAGCUAAUAGUAGAUGCCCCAGUUCUUGGGCCUUUAUGUCAUUGAGUUGAAAGGAGAGAGAAAGAAUGUCAACAAAACAGUCUUGUUCUGAUGACCGUGACUAGCACUCAAGCCAUUCCUUGAUGCUCACCGAGCAGUUCAAUAGCUCUUAAAGCCUAGGUGGUCUCACACUUGAAUUGAAGGGAAAAUUGCACAUAACUGGGUAAUCAUUCACCUGUUGAUGUCAAAGUGGUGACUGAUUAAGUACUGUCUUUUCCUUGUAAAAAAUAUGCAUCUCAGCUCUCUGUGCUUUUAUUUUCAUUGACAGUUUUUUUUUUUAUAUGUUAUACAUAUAUCUUGUUACUUACCAGUUAUUUUGAAAGCUGUUAUGUUUGGUACUUUUUGGUUGCCGUUUUGUUAAAAUAUUAUUUUGUUAUUGCACUAAUAAAUAUAAAUUAUA
Molecule: long non-coding RNA, 2320 nt
Organism: Gavialis gangeticus (Gharial)
Lineage: Eukaryota; Metazoa; Chordata; Crocodylia; Gavialidae
Exons: 7
Source: RefSeq, a predicted model, not a curated record